UUCAACACCAUUGCAUGGUUCACAAAAACUCCAACUCUGUAACAACAUACCAACUGCCCUAGAGCAAGUGGCAAAGGAUUUGAUAGUUGGUACCCGAGGUCCCAAGUUCGAAUCCUAGUUGAUUUACAUUUCCAGCUAAGUUUAUUUCUAAAUAAAAUAAACGAAGCGGGUAGCGUACUACCUAUCUCUCAAAAAAAAACUCUGUAACAACAUUCUAGCGAUUUCUAAUCUUUUGUACAUGAAUUCGCCGCCGCUAAAAGCAGUCCCCAAAUGGGCCCUCUUUUGUGGUACCCGGCCCAAGAGGCCUUGUUAACAAUUUUAUUGGGCCAGGCCUGGCCGAGCCGGUUUUAUCGUGAAAUUCAUGCAGUCAAAAAAGAGUGCUAAUAAUCUCCUCAACAAUUGGUUUUUUUCCCAGUGAAAAUUUAGGCUUUGUAAUAUAAAAUAACUGUACGGGCACAAGCAAGUAGAUAUUGAGAGUAAAGCUCCUAUACUAUUAAGAGUAUAACAGUUUUUGUGCUCUUAACUUUCUAAUCAUUCAUCAAUUUUGAUGGAUGAUUAAGAUAAGAGAGAAAAGAAAAAUUGAAAAGAAAUUUUUUUAAGAAAAGAGAAAUUGAGACAUGCAAUUUUUUCUUAAUUUUUUUUCUCUCUUCUACUCUAACCACCUUCGAAAUUGAUGAAUGGUUAAACAGUUAGGAGCACAAGAACUGUUGUACUCUUAAUAACACAGUAAUUCUGCUCAGAUAUUGAUUUAAAAGACUUUAGCAAUAUC
Molecule: long non-coding RNA, 769 nt
Filed under: Ananas comosus (pineapple)
Lineage: Eukaryota; Viridiplantae; Streptophyta; Magnoliopsida; Poales; Bromeliaceae
Description: long non-coding RNA (ACOM_LNC025235)
Source: RNAcentral